CCCUUAGAUGUUCUGGGCCGCACGCGCGCUACACUGAUGCAUUCAACGAGCCUAUCCUUGACCGACAGGUCCGGGUAAUCUUUGAAUCUGCAUCGUGACGGGGAUAGAUUAUUGCAAUUAUUAAUCUUCAACGAGGAAUGCCUAGUAGGCGCAAGUCAUCAGCUUGCGUCGAUUACGUCCCUGCCCUUUGUACACACCGCCCGUCGCUCCUACCGAUUGGGUGUGCUGGUGAAAUGUUCGGAUCGGCCGUUUGUCGCGGUUUCCGCGUCAUGUUGCUGAGAAGUUCAUUAAACCCUCCCACCUAGAGGAAGGAGAAGUCGUAACA
Molecule: ribosomal RNA, 325 nt
Filed under: uncultured eukaryote
Lineage: Eukaryota
Description: partial 18S ribosomal RNA
Rfam family: Eukaryotic small subunit ribosomal RNA
Source: RNAcentral